Molecule: unclassified non-coding RNA, 5385 nt
Filed under: Eurytemora carolleeae
Lineage: Eukaryota; Metazoa; Arthropoda; Copepoda; Calanoida; Temoridae
Description: transcriptional repressor NF-X1
Source: RNAcentral
GGGCAAGCCUGGUCAAUGGUGGGGGGUGGGGCUGCAGCUGGUGGGGGCGGGGGAGAACAGAAUCUUCUCUCAGUUGCUGACUCCCUAGCUCAUCAGAGGAUGGAACUCUCAGGACAGUGGGGCGCACCGAUGCAUUCAGGAGUAGACCAGGGUCUCCAACAUCAAUUACAGCAUCUUCAACAACAGCAACAGCAGCAGCUUCAACAGCAACAGCUGAGCAUGAUGCUGGGACAGCACGGCGGUUUAGCUCCUCUUGUUGGCCAGCAGAUCUCCCAGCUCUCAUCAAUGCUUCCUGUUGGUUCACAACAUCAAUCUCCUCCAACCCUAAACAUGAUGCUGGGGAGUGGAGCUAAUAUUGCUGCCAUGUUCCAAGGACAUAACGGUAUGGCACCUGUUCAGUCCCCGCCCUCCUCCCAGGGUGGAGGACAAGGAUAUCUGCUGCUAGGAACAGCACAGCAUGGACAGAGACCAGGAGAGCAAGGAAUGCCUCCUGCAAUAUCUCCUAAUUCUACUCCGGGUAUUCAGAUGCCAGGACCUCCAGCUACUCCUCCAAUGGUUGGGGUAGAGAUGGGAGAUAGAAACAUGUACAUGGGGAAUAUGGGACGAAUGGUUCAUGGAAUUGACAAGUUCUCUGUAGAAGGUAUGGAUGAGAAUCAACAAUAUGCCUGGAAAGGAAUUCAAGGAGGAAUUUUGGCGGAGAUGUUUCCUAGCGUUGACAGACAAAUGCAACACUUUGCAGAUCCAAGAAUGCAGACGGGGGCUCAGGGACAGAAUAUGAAUCAUGCUGCCAUGGCCCAGUUUCAGGCUCAGGAGAAUAUGGUUCGGAUGCAACAGCAUCAACAGCAGCAACAACUUCAUCAGAAGCAGCACUACUCCCAACAAAUGCAGGGACAUCCUCAGAUGUUCCAGGAUAUGAGAGGAUUUUCUCAAAUUGUUCCUGCCCAGUCUCCUCCUGCUCCCAAUGGUAUGCAGUUUCACCAUGGAGGUCCUCCUGGGCCACGUCCUCGUCCUGUUGGUGGGGAUGAUUCAUCUCCUGGGUUUACUCCCGAGGUGCCAGCUCCACACGAGGCUGAAAAUCCUAAAGAUGAUCUUGUUAUCGGCAGCUGGAAUGAUGAGUGUGAGAAGGAAGGAGCUGGAAUUGCUCCGCCUGGGCCUCCGCCUCAGAUUCUGCAGAAUAUGAGUCAGCCUCCGCCGAAUCAAGUUCAUCGGCAAAACGAACCUUUCUUCGGAGGAAACUUUCAUCCUCCGAACAACAAUAGAGGAGGGUGGGGACAAACUAUGGAGGAAGAGCAGUUUUCAGCUGAUGGAAGCAACCGAGGGAAGCAUCAUGAUUUCAGAGGCAGGGGACGCGGAAACAAGAUGGAUAUGGUAAGUCGACAUGAUGAGAAUGAGAACAAUCGAUCAGCUGGAACUUUCAGGGGUAGAGGUAUGUCUCGAGGAGGUAGAGGUAGCUUUGGUUACGGUCGGAUUGUAGACCAGGAUAAAUCUGAGGGGAAAAACGCCGCCAUCGAGGAAACUAAAGCUUUGAUGCUGAAAAUGAGGUUGGAAGAUAAGGAACUCAUUGACCGGCACAAGAAGGAGCACGGGAUAACAGAUGAAAACGAUGAAAAUUCUAAAUCUGAAGCACCAGAGGUUCAGCCUGGUGCGUACAGACCGCGAGAGAAGCGAGGACGAGAUGACCGCAAAGACGCUCAGAGAGCUCGAGGAGGACGGGGCCGAGGAGGACGAGGGAUGCCCCCUCAUAUGCCUGGUAUGGCUGGAGCUCCUGCUCCUCUGUUUGGAUUACAUCAUGGAGGUUCAGACUUUAGAACUCCUCCUUUCCCUGGUCUUGAGGGAUUCUUUCCGCCGCAGGCAAUGGGACACUUUCCACCUGGUUUCCCGCCUCACCUAGGUCCCGGAUUUCCUCCAGGAAUUAUCCCGGGAGGUAUGAGAGGUCGUGGAUUCCCUCGAGGUCGAGGGUUUCCUGCUGGUUUCCCGCCUAGAGGCUUCCCGCCUCCAAUGAUUGGUGCACGUGGAAUGCGAGGGAUGCGAGGACCGUAUCAAGGAGGGGGUCGAGGUCGUGAUCGGGGAAGAGGAGGAGGAGGGGGAGGACCUGAGCCGGGUGAUGGAGCGAGUACUGAAGAACCACCUUCUGAAGAUAAUCCUCUUCUGAGUGCUAUCAACAAACCUAGUGUAGAGACGGAUACACAGGCUGCUGUCGUGGAAACUGACGAGCCGUCAAAAAACUUGUUUAGCGAGCAGGGAACCUACGAGGGCCAGCUGGCCCUGCUCGCUGGAGCCGACCUUAGGGUCAGGCUGACCGAUCAGCUGGUCCGCGGUCAGACCGAGUGCAUGGUCUGCCUUGACAGAGUUAGGCAAACUCAUGCAACUUGGGACUGUCACAAUUGCUUCCAAAUUUUCCAUCUCAAUUGUAUAAAGAAGUGGGCUAAGACCGCCCGAACUGAGUCUGGGGGCUGGAGGUGCCCUGGAUGUCAAUCUGUUACCUCCAUCGGUCCCUCGGAGUACCGCUGCUUCUGUAGAAAACUCCGGAACCCGGACUGGAACCGGAACGAAGGUCUGGUUCCUCACUCCUGUGGAGAAGUAUGUGGAAGGAAAAGAUCAGAUCCGUGUUCUCACUCCUGUAAGGAGCUCUGCCAUGCUGGACCCUGUCCAACCUGCACUGCUACUAUACUGAUAACCUGCCCUUGUGGAAAAGAGAAAACUAGAAUGAAGUGUGGCGAGGAAUUUACUUGUGAGGGAGUUUGUGGAAAGAAAUUAAACUGUGAGGAACAUGAAUGUCAGGAUGUUUGUCAUCAAGGUCCUUGUUAUGAUUGUCUUAAGGUCUUCAAUCAAGUAUGCUACUGUGGGAAGAGUGUACGUGAAGUAGUAUGCAGUAAAGAAACUGUUGGAGUAACAAACUACGAGUGUGAGAACAUGUGUGAGAAGUCCCGCGACUGUGAGCUCCAUCAAUGCGAUUCUCCAUGUCAUCCCGGAGUCUGUGAACCCUGUCUACUCACCCCUAGUAGAGUUACAACCUGUCCCUGCGGACAAACCCCCCUGGAGAAGUUGUAUGAAAGGGACGGAUUAUCUCCGCGUGAGAACUGUUUGGAUCCUGUUCCUACUUGUGGUAUGACUUGUAGUGCUAAACUCCCGUGUGGAAACCUGGCAAGUCCUCACACCUGCUCUUCAGUUUGUCACACAGGUCCCUGUCCGACAUGUCCUAAGAACACCCUGGUAAGGUGUAGGUGCGGAUAUAUGGAUAAGGAGAUACCGUGCUGUGAGUUGACCGGUAGACCUGAUGAUGCUAGAUGUGAGAAGAGAUGUCAGAAGAAAAGAUCCUGUGGUCGGCAUAAGUGUACCCAGCUCUGCUGUAUAGAGAUAGAACAUGAAUGUAAUCUUAUCUGCGGAAAACUUCUCACCUGUGCCCUACACAGAUGUGAAGAUCUGUGCCACCGUGGGAACUGUAAAACCUGUCCUCGUGUUAGUUUUGACGAGCUCCACUGUAGUUGCGGAGCAGCAGUCCUGUAUCCCCCGGUAGCCUGUGGAACUAGGCCCCCGGAAUGUAAGGAACCCUGCAGCAGGAUUCAUCCUUGCUCUCAUACCGUUACACAUUCUUGUCAUAGCGAGGAUAAUUGCCCUCCCUGUACUCAACUCAUUGUCAAGCGGUGCUAUGGUGGACAUGAAGAGAGGAAGAAUGUUGCUUGUCUGGUGGAAGGAAUAUCAUGCGGAAAACCGUGUGGAAAACCUUUAUCUUGUGAAAACCAUUCCUGCAUCAAGAUCUGUCACGCAGGAACUUGUCUUACCGGAGAUAUCUGUACUCAACCCUGCACCAGGAGCAGGAGCUGUGAACAUCCCUGCGCUCAACCCUGUCAUACUGGGGUUUGUCCUGAUACAGUCUGUACUACUCAGGUUCGGUUAACCUGCGAGUGUGGGAACCGAACUGCCAGCCUACCCUGCUCCGAUAACUCCUAUAGUAGGGUUACUACAGCUCUUCUUGCUACCCGGAUGCAGGACGUGCAAGCAGGAAAUACUGUUAGUCUCAAGGAAUUAUCUAAGAGCAACAGGAAGUUAGAAUGCUCCGAGGAGUGUUCCAAACUUGAACGUAACAAGAGAAUAGCGCUAGCACUACAGAUUAGAAACCCGGAGCUCAGUGCUAAAAUCACUCCCCGCUACUCCGACUUUAUGAAGGAUUAUGCUAAAAGAGAUCCUAAGUUCUGUUCAACGAUCCAUGAUGAGCUGGCAAAAUUGGUUCAGCUUGCGAAGGAGUCUAAACAGAAGAGUCGGAUCAAAUCCUUUGAUUGUAUGAACAGAGAGAAGAGACAAUUAGUUCAUGAGUACGCUGAACACUUUGGCUGCGAGUCGGAGUCCUUUGAUGCUGAACCUAAGAGAAAUGUUGUUGCUACUGCUUCACGAGACAAGUCCUGGCUGCCAGCAAUAUCUUUGCUAGACUUUGUCCAGAAAAUGAAGAAGGUCCCAGCUCCCGUCAGUAGUACUGAGACGGUUUCUCCCGUAUUUACUUCUCUCUCAAAAGUAGAACCAGUUGCACCAAAGGAGAAGAUCGAUUGGUUUGAUUAAUCCCACCUUGUAGCCUGGCUCCUUGUUCACCUCCAGACCUGGAAACAUCAAACCUGAUCUAUCUAGGCUUCUGUUCUAAUUCAAACAUGGAUAAACAAUAAGGCUCCUCCUGCAAGAACGUGUUUCAAGUUUGAAUUUAACUUUCAAACAAUGUCGAGACAUAAUCCAGUGUUAAACUUGUUGCUAUCCGAUCUUUUUAUCCCUUCGCUCCCGUUCCUUUAUGUUUCUUAUUCCGAAUGAAGAAACUAAAAUCAGAUUUGAGAAAAAUGUUUGGGAAUAUUUUUAGUGAUGAAAAGUCGGGAAUGUUUGAACUGAAUCGUGAGAAUCUAUAAUUUAACCAAUAUUUACUUGAAGUAUGAGGGAAAGGGCAGGUUGUAUUGAAAGUAGAUUUAACCCUCUACUCUUAACCAUACAGUGCACUUCCCUCCCAAACUAUUAUUUGUCUUGGUUUAAUUUCACUUAUCGCCUCAAUUUUUCUUUCUUUGCAAUGUCUCUGCAAAAACUAUCAAACUUUUUCAUCUUUAACCCAUAUAAUUUAAUAUAAAACUAAAAUUUGAUUAACGAAAUCUUAAUUUAAAAAUAAUUGUAUGAAGAGUCUCGAUUUUCGGAGACUUGAGAAACGCAUUGCAUUACGAGAUAAUCUGUCAGUAAUAUUAUAAAAACCCGCCAACUGUAGUGAGUUAGAACUUAAAAACGUGAUAUUUCAACUCCAUGGCGGUGAUCCCUUGAACUAAUGUUAAACCCAAAGACUCGUUUUAUUUACAAUUUACUGUUGAUUAAUUGUGCACACGCCCUCUAUAUCUAUUGGCUGAAAUAAACUUGCGUUUUAUA